RNAcentral lists this ribosomal RNA (816 nucleotides) under Triticum aestivum (bread wheat). RNAcentral describes it as "partial small subunit ribosomal RNA". The record is from RNAcentral. Lineage: Eukaryota; Viridiplantae; Streptophyta; Magnoliopsida; Poales; Poaceae.
AUGCCGAACAAGCGUCAGCGGGAGGCGCGGAAGCGCUUCCGCGAGGCGAACCCCGGCCUCUGUCCGCCCGCGCCCGCCCCUCCGGCCGACGGCACCAAGAAGAAGAAGAGCAAGAAGAGCUUGUUCAAGAAGGUGAAGAAGGCGGGAGCCGGCGGCGGAGUAGGAGGAGCGGGGAGGUCGAAGCACCCGCUGCGGGUUCCCGGGAUGCGGCCCGGGGAGCAGUGCUUCAUCUGCAAGGGCACCGACCACGCGGCCAAGAACUGCCCCGAGAAGUCCUAUUGGGACAAGAACAAGAUUUGCUUGCUCUGCAGGGAGCGAGGGCAUAGUAUGAAGAACUGCCCUGACAAAGGUGAUGGGGAUCUGAAGAAAUUCUGCUAUAACUGUGGUGAAUCUGGGCAUUCCCUUUCCAAGUGCCCGAAGCCCAUUGAAAAUGGCGGCACAAACUUUGCGAGCUGCUUUGUCUGCAAACAGCAGGGACAUUUGAGCAAGGAUUGCCCUGAAAAUACACACGGCAUUUAUCCCAAGGGUGGUUGCUGUAAGAUAUGUGGUGAAGUUACACACUUGGCAAGGCAUUGCCCGAACAAACGGCAACAGUACUUCGAAUCCUCGGUGGAUGAUGGUAUGAAUAUGGAGGGAGACUACCAGGAAGACCAUACUCUGCAUGGUGGAGACGAUCUUGAAGAUGAUUUCAUUGAUGAAGAAGAGGUGAAAACCACCAAAACAAUUAAAGCAAAGCAACCUAGCAGCGGCGAGAAGAGUACCAGCUCAAAGUCAAAAGGAAAACAAGCUCCAAAAGUUGUAAAAUUCUUUGGUUAA